RNAcentral lists this long non-coding RNA (1047 nucleotides) under Homo sapiens (human). Its description in RNAcentral is "HSALNT0295920". The record is from RNAcentral. Lineage: Eukaryota; Metazoa; Chordata; Mammalia; Primates; Hominidae.
AGUCCACCCCCUUUUAUCCCCUGUCCUGGCACCCCACAGCCCCAGGCACCUUAAAGGGGAACCAACCCAGGUUCCUGGACUCUGGGCUCUUGGCCAUGGAAAGUCCAGCCUCUAAGCAGACCCAUUUCCCCUCCCUUCCUGUUCAUCUCCACCAACUAGGGCUACUUGUUGGAGAGAAAUGCAAAGUUGUGGACAAAGUGUUGAACCGAGGCCUGUGAAGUCAGGGCCUUGAUUUUCUCUUCUGUAAAUGAUGAUGCCUUCCAGACGGGAAAAUGGGUCAUGGAGGAGUGACUUCACCAACAUCACUCAUAGGUGCUUGUGUCCGUGGUGAGAAGGGUGAUGGAGAGAAGUGGCUGCAGUUCCCACCCAUGGAGAGGUCACUGGUGAAUCCCAGCUAAAGAGGAAGGACAGGCCCGGCCUGAGUCCCACAGGCUUACCAUCUGAGUCCUUCUGAUUGGGAUUGGGUACCAGGCGGCAGUUAUCGGGACCAGGAGGCACAUAAUCUGGGAUGCCAUCAUUGUCAUCAUCCCCAUCACACUCAUCUCCAAGUCCAUCGUUAUCAGAGUCCAGCUGGGAGCUAUUUGGCAGCUGUGGGCAGUUGUCCUUGGUGUCCUGAUGCCCAUCCCCAUCGCUAAUCAGAAGAACAGGUUGGUGAAAGUCCCGAACUUUGUCUCCCCACCCAGAGGACAACUGGCCAGGAAAUCUGCCUGUUUCUUGUCUCACCCUCUAGUCCACACUCUGCCUAACACUACGCCCUACCUCACAUUCCUAUUGACAUCUGCUGCAGGUAAUCUCUCCUCACCCAGGCCAACGUCCACAAGCCUGCCUCCCUAUUUCACAGAGACUUCCUAGCUUCCCUGCUUCAUCCCCACCUGAUCCAAAUUCUCACAGGUCCCCCAGCCACCCCUUCAGCCCCAGGCCUGCACCAUCCCCAUCCACGUCGUUGUCACAGGCAUCUCCUUCCCCAUUGCCAUCUGUGUCCUUCUGGUCAUUGUUGGGAACGUUGGGGCAAUUGUCACAGGCAUCACCAAAUGAAUCUGUAUCUGA